AGAGUUUGAUCCUGGCUCAGGAUGAACGCUGGCGGCGUGCCUAAUACAUGCAAGUCGAACGCUUUGUGGUCCAACUGAUUUGAAGAGCUUGCUCAGAUAUGACGAUGGACAUUGCAAAGAGUGGCGAACGGGUGAGUAACACGUGGGAAACCUACCUCUUAGCAGGGGAUAACACUUGGAAACAAGUGCUAAUACCGUAUAACACUAAUAACCGCAUGGUUAUUAGUUAAAAGAUGGUCUUGCUAUCACUAAGAGAUGGUCCCGCGGUGUAUUAGCUAGUUGGUAAGGUAAUGGCUUACCAAGGCAAUGAUACAUAGCCGAGUUGAGAGACUGAUCGGCCACAAUGGGACUGAGACACGGCCCAUACUCCUACGGGAGGCAGCAGUAGGGAAUCUUCCACAAUGGACGAAAGUCUGAUGGAGCAACGCCGCGUGUGUGAUGAAGGGUUUCGGUUCGUAAAACACUGUUGUAAGAGAAGAAUGACAUUGAGAGUAACUGUUCAGUGUGUGACGGUAUCUUACCAGAAAGGAACGGCUAAAUACGUGCCAGCAGCCGCGGUAAUACGUAUGUUCCAAGCGUUAUCCGGAUUUAUUGGGCGUAAAGCGAGCGCAGACGGUUAUUUAAGUCCGAAGUGAAAGCCCACAGCUUAACUGUGGAAGUGCUUUGGAAACUGGAUAACUUGAGUGCAGUAGAGGAGAGUGGAACUCCAUGUGUAGCGGUGAAAUGCGUAGAUAUAUGGAAGAACAUAGUGGCGACGCGGCUCUCUGGACUGUAACUGACGUUGAGGCUCGAAAGUGUGGGUAGCAAACAGGAU
Molecule: ribosomal RNA, 814 nt
Filed under: uncultured bacterium
Lineage: Bacteria
Description: bacterial SSU rRNA
Rfam family: Bacterial small subunit ribosomal RNA
Source: RNAcentral